This 429-nucleotide ribosomal RNA is filed under the name uncultured prokaryote. RNAcentral describes it as "bacterial SSU rRNA". It matches the Rfam family "Bacterial small subunit ribosomal RNA", at positions 355 to 774 of the family's 1533-position model. The record is from RNAcentral.
UGAGGAAUAUUUCACAAUGGGCGAAAGCCUGAUGGAGCGACGCCGCGUGGGGGAUGAAUGGCUUCGGGUUGUAAAGCACUUUUUUAAUCGAGCAAUGCCUUUUAUGUGAUAAGCAUGAGAGGAGAGAUAUUAGGUUAAGAAUAAGCAACGGCUAACUCCGUGCCAGCAGCCGCGGUAACACGGGGGUUGCAAGCGUUGUCCGGAAUUACUAGGCGUAAAGGGCAGGUAGGCGGAUAUAUAAGUUUUGUGUUAAAGGCAUCGGCUUAACCGGUGUAAGGCAUAGGAUACUGUAUAUCUGGAAUGCGGUUGAGGAAGACAGAAUUCCUGGUGUAGCGGUGGAAUGCGUAGAUAUUAGGAGGAACACCAGUGGCGAAGGCGACUUUCUGGACUGUAACUGACGCUGAGGCACGAAAGCGUGGGGAGCAAACA